GGCCAUCAAGGAGUGGGGCCAGCCCAAGUCAAAGAUCACUCAUGUCGUCUUCUGCACUACCUCUGGCGUCGACAUGCCUGGUGCUGACUACCAGCUCACCAAGCUUCUUGGUCUCCGUCCUUCCGUCAAGCGUCUCAUGAUGUACCAACAAGGUUGCUUCGCCGGCGGCACUGUCCUCCGUAUCGCCAAGGACCUGGCUGAGAACAACCGCGGAGCUCGUGUCCUUGUCGUCUGCUCUGAGAUCACAGCUGUCACCUUCCGUGGCCCCUCUGACACCCACCUUGACUCCCUCGUCGGUCAGGCUCUUUUCAGUGACGGCGCUGCCGCACUCAUCGUGGGGUCGGACCCUGACACAUCUGUCGGAGAGAAACCCAUCUUCGAGAUGGUGUCCGCCGCACAGACCAUCCUCCCAGACUCUGAUGGUGCCAUAGACGGACACUUGAGGGAAGUGGGUCUCACCUUCCAUCUCCUCAAGGAUGUUCCCGGCCUCAUCUCGAAGAACAUUGUGAAGAGUUUAGACGAAGCGUUUAAACCUUUGGGGAUAAGUGACUGGAACUCCCUCUUCUGGAUAGCUCACCCUGGAGGUCCUGCGAUCCUAGAUCAGGUGGAGUUAAAGCUAGGACUAAAGGAAGAGAAGAUGAGGAUGACACGUCACGUGUUGAGCGAGUAUGGAAACAUGUCGAGCGCGUGCGUUCUCUUCAUACUAGACGAGAUGAGGAGAAAGUCAGCCAAGGAUGGUGUGGCCACGACAGGGGAAGGGUUGGAGUGGGGAGUCUUGUUUGGUU
RNAcentral lists this long non-coding RNA (785 nucleotides) under Arabidopsis lyrata. RNAcentral describes it as "long non-coding RNA (ALYR_LNC001205)". Lineage: Eukaryota; Viridiplantae; Streptophyta; Magnoliopsida; Brassicales; Brassicaceae. The record is from RNAcentral.